This 253-nucleotide ribosomal RNA is filed under the name uncultured bacterium. Its description in RNAcentral is "partial 16S ribosomal RNA". It matches the Rfam family "Bacterial small subunit ribosomal RNA", at positions 524 to 776 of the family's 1533-position model. The record is from RNAcentral.
UACAAAGGGGGCGAGCGUUGUUCGGAAUUACUGGGCGUAAAGGGCGCGUAGGCGGCCGAUCAAGUCAGAUGUGAAAGUCCUGGGCUUAACCUGGGGACUGCAUUUGAUACUGAUUGGCUUGAAUGCAGGAGAGGAUAGCGGAAUUCCCAGUGUAGAGGUGAAAUUCGUAGAUAUUGGGAAGAACACCGGUGGCGAAGGCGGCUAUCUGGACUGUGAUUGACGCUGAGGCGCGAAAGCGUGGGGAGCAAACAGG